Molecule: ribosomal RNA, 490 nt
Filed under: uncultured bacterium
Lineage: Bacteria
Description: partial 16S ribosomal RNA
Rfam family: Bacterial small subunit ribosomal RNA
Source: RNAcentral
UGAACGCUGGCGGUAGGCCUACCACAUGCAAGUCGAACGGCAGCACAGUAAGAGCUUGCUCUUACGGGUGGCGAGUGGCGGACGGGUGAGGAAUACAUCGGAAUCUACUUUUUCGUGGGGGAUAACGUAGGGAAACUUACGCUAAUACCGCAUACGACCUACGGGUGAAAGCAGGGGAUCUUCGGACCUUGCGCGAUUGAAUGAGCCGAUGUCGGAUUAGCUAGUUGGCGGGGUAAAGGCCCACCAAGGCGACGAUCCGUAGCUGGUCUGAGAGGAUGAUCAGCCACACUGGAACUGAGACACGGUCCAGACUCCUACGGGAGGCAGCAGUGGGGAAUAUUGGACAAUGGGCGCAAGCCUGAUCCAGCCACACCGCGUGGGUGAAGAAGGCCUUCGGGUUGUAAAGCCCUUUUGUUGGGAAAGAAAAGCAGCAGGUUAAUACCCCGCUGUUCUGACGGUACCCAAAGAAUAAGCACCGGCUAACUUCGUG